AAAUUGAAGAGUUUGAUCAUGGCUCAGAUUGAACGCUGGCGGCAGGCCUAACACAUGCAAGUCGAACGGUAGCACAGAGAGCUUGCUCUCGGGUGACGAGUGGCGGACGGGUGAGUAAUGUCUGGGAAACUGCCUGAUGGAGGGGGAUAACUACUGGAAACGGUGGCUAAUACCGCAUAACGUCGCAAGACCAAAGAGGGGGACCUUCGGGCCUCUUGCCAUCAGAUGUGCCCAGAUGGGAUUAGCUUGUUGGUGAGGUAACGGCUCACCAAGGCGACGAUCCCUAGCUGGUCUGAGAGGAUGACCAGCCACACUGGAACUGAGACACGGUCCAGACUCCUACGGGAGGCAGCAGUGGGGAAUAUUGCACAAUGGGCGCAAGCCUGAUGCAGCCAUGCCGCGUGUAUGAAGAAGGCCUUC
Molecule: ribosomal RNA, 420 nt
Filed under: Salmonella enterica
Lineage: Bacteria; Pseudomonadati; Pseudomonadota; Gammaproteobacteria; Enterobacterales; Enterobacteriaceae
Also listed under: 1 other name
Description: partial 16S ribosomal RNA
Rfam family: Bacterial small subunit ribosomal RNA
Source: RNAcentral